Molecule: ribosomal RNA, 440 nt
Filed under: uncultured bacterium
Lineage: Bacteria
Description: partial 16S ribosomal RNA
Rfam family: Bacterial small subunit ribosomal RNA
Source: RNAcentral
CCUACGGGAGGCAGCAGUGGGGAAUAUUGCACAAUGGGGGAAACCCUGAUGCAGCGACGCCGUGUGAGUGAAGAAGUAUUUCGGUACGUAAAGCUCUAUCAGCAGGGAAGAAAAUGACGGUACCUGACUAAGAAGCCCCGGCUAACUACGUGCCAGCAGCCGCGGUAAUACGUAGGGGGCAAGCGUUAUCCGGAUUUACUGGGUGUAAAGGGAGCGUAGACGGCAGCGCAAGUCUGGAGGGAAAUCCCAUGGCUUAACCAUGGACCUGCUUUGGAAACUGUGCAGCUAGAGUGCAGGAGAGGUAAGCGGAAUUCCUAGUGUAGCGGUGAAAUGCGUAGAUAUUAGGAGGAACACCAGUGGCGAAGGCGGCUUACUGGACUGUAACUGACGUUGAGGCUCGAAAGCGUGGGGAGCAAACAGGAUUAGAUACCCUUGUAGUC